UACGUAGGGUGCAAGCGUUGUCCGGAAUUAUUGGGCGUAAAGAGUUCGUAGGCGGCCUGUCGCGUCGGAUGUGAAAGCCCGGGGCUUAACCCCGGGUCUGCAUUCGAUACGGGCAGGCUAGAGUGUGGUAGGGGAGAUCGGAAUUCCUGGUGUAGCGGUGAAAUGCGCAGAUAUCAGGAGGAACACCGGUGGCGAAGGCGGAUCUCUGGGCCAUUACUGACGCUGAGGAGCGAAAGCGUGGGGAGCGAACAGG
This 253-nucleotide ribosomal RNA is filed under the name uncultured bacterium. RNAcentral's name for it is "partial 16S ribosomal RNA". It matches the Rfam family "Bacterial small subunit ribosomal RNA", at positions 524 to 776 of the family's 1533-position model. The record is from RNAcentral.